GACGAACGCUGGCGGCGUGCUUAACACAUGCAAGUCGAACGGAAAGGCCCUGCUUUUGUGGGGUGCUCGAGUGGCUAACGUGUGAGUAACACGUGAGUAACCUGCCCUUGACUUUGUGAUACCUUCAGGAAACUGGGGCUAAUACCGGAUAGGAGCUCCUGCUGCAUGGUGGGGGUUGGAACGUUUCGGCGGUUGGGGAUGGACUCGCGGCUUAUCAGCUUGUUGGUGGGGUAGUGGCUUACCAAGGCUUUGACGGGUAGCCGGCCUGAGAGGGUGACCGGCCACAUUGGGACUGAGAUACGGCACAGACUCCUACGGGAGGCAGCAGUGGGGAAUAUUGCACAAUGGGCGGAAGCCUGAUGCAGCAACGCGGCGUGCGGGAUGACGGCCGUCGGGUUGUAAACCGCUUUCGCCUGUGACGAAGCGUGAGUGACGGUAAUGGGUAAAGAAGCACCGGCUAACUACGUG
RNAcentral lists this ribosomal RNA (468 nucleotides) under uncultured bacterium. RNAcentral describes it as "partial 16S ribosomal RNA". It matches the Rfam family "Bacterial small subunit ribosomal RNA", at positions 28 to 507 of the family's 1533-position model. The record is from RNAcentral.